CUCUACGGCCAUACCAUGCUGAAUGCGCCCCAUCUCGUCUGAUCUUGGAAGCUAAGGCCAAUGGGAAAUUACAACCCAAUCCAGGCAGGAACAAAUGACCCAGACU
Molecule: ribosomal RNA, 106 nt
Organism: Piliocolobus tephrosceles (Ugandan red Colobus)
Lineage: Eukaryota; Metazoa; Chordata; Mammalia; Primates; Cercopithecidae
Source: Ensembl